Molecule: ribosomal RNA, 253 nt
Filed under: uncultured bacterium
Lineage: Bacteria
Description: partial 16S ribosomal RNA
Rfam family: Bacterial small subunit ribosomal RNA
Source: RNAcentral
UACGUAGGGGGCGAGCGUUGUCCGGAGUUACUGGGCGUAAAGCGCACGCAGGCGGUCUGCUAAGUUUGGAGUGACAGUUGGUGGCUUAACUGCCAAAGUGCUUCGAAAACUGACAGACUUGAGGGCUUCAGAGGGACACGGAAUUCCGGGUGGAGUGGUGAAAUGCGUAGAUAUUCGGAAGAACACCAGUGGCGAAGGCGACUUACUGGACACAUAUUGACGCUGAGGUGCGAAAGCGUGGGGAGCAAACAGG